Non-coding RNA from Phalacrocorax carbo (great cormorant), 2771 nucleotides. The record is from RefSeq and is a predicted model, not a curated record. NCBI's taxonomy places the organism in Eukaryota, Metazoa, Chordata, Aves, Suliformes, Phalacrocoracidae.
GUGAUGGGGAGUCAUGGUGAUGGGGCGCCGUGGUGAUGGGGCGCCGUGGUGAUAGGGAGUCGUGGUGAUGGGGCGCCGUGGUGAUGGGGCACCGUGGUGAUGGGGAGUCAUGGUAAGAGGGAGCCCGCCCCUCCCACUGGAGGGCCUGGGGGGCAGUGUGAAGCCUGGAUGUCCAUGGCACCACGGCCCAUGGCUGCCUGGCGGGACACCGAGGAGGAUCCCAGCACCGUCAGAACAGGCCGUUUCCUGAUCUGCCUCAUCCUGUGGCCAAACACCAGGGCCCACCCAAGGGAAGCCGGCCAACAUGUCACUGCGGACUCAGGGAAAGCCGAGACUUUUGCUCAUAAGCUGUGCUUGCGUGGAUGCAAUGCAGAAUGAGAUAGCUACCAUUUUAGGCCUCGUUAGAUGAGGUAAACCCUGCUGUAUUGCCUCUGAAAGGCGAUGAAUGCUCUAAGCUUUCUAAAAGGCCUAGAAUGCAUAAUUAGUCAAUAAAACAGUGGGAGAAUAAUGAAGUGUUUAUAAGUAGAGCCUACAUAACAAUUUGUGAUUAAACUUUAUCCCUUAUUUUAAUUUCAGCUUACUAUAUAUAAUGAACUAAAUUACAGGUACUUUUUAAGGCCACCCCUAGAGGCAAUCGUAUCUGAACUUAAAAAAAAUUAUUGCAGUCAACAAACAAAAACAUUUGCACCAACCCUGAAGAUACUAAAGUGGCACUCACUCUACUGGCGUCAACAGCCCUGUUACCUGAGAACGCAGCCACUAAAGAAGAAAAUUGCUUCACUGCUAACAGUGCCUUCCAAUAAAUUAACAAAGUUUCUGUGAACAUUUAUUACACAAGUAGCAGGUGCUGAUGGGGAAGGUGGACAUGUUACCUUGCUGAAGCAACCCUGUCUUGAUUUGGUCCAGCUCAGUAUUUGAUUUUGCAUUUCAGUGUUUAUUUGCAUUUGUUUUGCAUUUUAGUGUUUAUUUGUUAGUGAAGCCGUGGGUGUGUCCAUUUCUGUAAGCUAAGCACAAUAAAAAGGAGAUGUUUUGAUAUAAAAAGCAUGAAUAUUUCAAUGUGUAUUCACAGAGAUUACAAAGUAAUCACUUUAGCAAUAUCAGCAUAAACUAGGAGGAAAACAAUUAGAAAUAUAAAAAAUAGAGAACCUUUAAAAAUGUUUAAAUCCAUUUACAUUCUAAAAUUAUUUUUAAAAUCAUAAUAUUUUUACACAGUUUCUCAACUUACCUCUUUUUGUUCAGCUAGUAAUGCAAUGCUAGCUUUCAAAUCAAGCAUAAAGAAAUUUAACAUCCAUUUCUGCUACCUACUGCAGAAGCUGUAGCAUUUUAAGGAAAGUACAUCCAAUCUUUGAAUAAAAAAUCUGAGGUCAUGUAAAGAAGUCAGUGUACAUAUGAUUAAAAGUAGGAGUGUAAAUAUUUCUUUGAGAAAUGCCCAGAGACAGUAACAAAUUUCUAAUCAUAGAAGUGUCCACAACAGGUCAAAUCUAUGGGAAAUAUAGAGCAGGGCUAUGGCUGAAACCUGUAUGUGCAAUAGAUAUUGUUGGAGUCAGUUUGACCACUGGUCUGCUUGAAACAGCACGUAGGCAAAUACUUGCAGGUCCUGAACUGUUAAAACACUUGUUCACGUUCAACAAAUCUUUGGUGAGCAAAACGGGGCUUUUGACAAGGGCAGCAGGCGUUGGAGAGGGCAGCGAGGGCAGCUCCCAGGUUGACUCCAUUUGUGACAGAAACUAAUUUGAAAUAGAAUAUAGCAAAUUCCAAGAAACAGUAGUACAAACUGUAGUGAAGCACCACUUUUUACUCUGUUUAAGAGCAUUAACAAACUGGAACUUGCUUUUCAGCUUCAGAAGUAUUCUAGGAGAAAUAACCCUCAUCCCUCCAAAAUUAUAUUCCUAAGAAAUGCUCCAUAAAAUAAACAGAAAUAAAGCAAACACAGUGUUGGACUGUGGGAGUGUGUAAUUUGUACUGCAAGUGGUCUCUUACAUACGCUAAAUAAGCAAACCAUUGUCAGGAGAUGAAAAUACAAUUUAAAGAAAAAAAGCAGCACUUUAAAAGGGUUUUCUUUGUCUCUUGACAGAAGGUUACUGUGAAAAUCCAGAUCCCUGUCUCAGCUCUAUGGGAUUCGUGGUUCCUGAAGAUCUGUAAUGACGCUGGAAUUGUCUGGCUGCAGCCGAGAUGUACAGUAUGUUCUCCUGGGUGAGCUGUUCUUCUGAAAGAGGGUCCAUUUUAGCGUGGUGCAUUUGCUGUGAUAAAAUCCCAGAGUCCCUCCCUUCCUUUGAAGAAUAAUGACACUCUCAUCUGAGAGAAUAAGAUCUUUUUCUUUCUCUUUUGUUCUGUUUUGUUAGUGUCAGCUCUGAGGAGCUGACAGACAAACAGCCAGGCUCUUGAAGAUGGACGGGCUUUAUUGUGUAAAUUUCUGGCCUGAUAAUUUACACACGAUAUUGUUUGGCUGAAAAGCACCAGUGUUUUCUCUAGGUGCUUUUGUGCCCAGGGACUUGGGGUUGGGUUUUUUUUGUUUUGUUUUGUUUUGUUUUAAACCAAUAAAAAUGUUAAUUCCAAAAGAAGGGAAUCUCUGGGUCAUGAGAUUUUGCUGCGUAGAUUGACUGACGCAUGGGGGAGGAAGGGAGCGCAGCUCAAGCUUCAUGAUGCCAGCUAUUUCCCACUCUAUGUACAUUCCUCACCAUCAGGCAUAACUGUUUGCUUGCAAAAUCAAUCCGUGAUGUGUACCUGGAUCUCCCAGCUCCGAUUCUGCCCAUCCCUGUGGAAAAAGUAAA